This 333-nucleotide ribosomal RNA is filed under the name uncultured bacterium. RNAcentral describes it as "partial 16S ribosomal RNA". It matches the Rfam family "Bacterial small subunit ribosomal RNA", at positions 338 to 686 of the family's 1533-position model. The record is from RNAcentral.
CCUACGGGUGGCAGCAGUGGGGAAUAUUGGGCAAUGGGCGCAAGCCUGACCCAGCAACGCCGCGUGAAGGAAGAAGGAUUUCGGGUUGUAAACUUCUUUUAAGAGGGAAGAGCAGAAGACGGUACCUCUUGAAUAAGCCACGGCUAACUACGGGCCAACAACCGCGGUAAUACGUAGGUGGCAAGGGGUGUCCGGAUUUACUGGGUGGAAAGGGCGUGCAGCCGGGAAGACAAGUCAGAUGUGAAAUCCCGGGGCUCAACCGCGGGACCGCAUUUGGAACUGGUUUUCUUGGGUACCGGAGAGGUCAUCGGAAGUCCUUGUGUAGCGGUGAAA